RNAcentral lists this ribosomal RNA (520 nucleotides) under Calostoma sinocinnabarinum. RNAcentral's name for it is "Calostoma sp. NKZ-2021a partial large subunit ribosomal RNA". It matches the Rfam family "Eukaryotic large subunit ribosomal RNA", at positions 76 to 583 of the family's 3401-position model. The record is from RNAcentral. Lineage: Eukaryota; Fungi; Basidiomycota; Agaricomycetes; Boletales; Calostomataceae.
UCCCCUAGUAACUGCGAGUGAAGCGGGAACAGCUCAAAUUUCGAAUCUGGCGGUCCUCGGCCGUCCGAGUUGUAAUCUAGAGAAGCGUCUUCCGCGCUGGACCCGUGUACAAGUCUCCUGGAAGGGAGCAUCGUAGAGGGUGACAAUCCCGUCUCUGACACGGACUUACCAGGGCUUACGCGAUGCGCUCUCGACGAGUCGAGUUGUUUGGGAAUGCAGCUCAAAUCGGGUGGUAAACUCCAUCUAAAGCUAAAUACUGGCGAGAGACCGAUAGCGAACAAGUACCGUGAGGGAAAGAUGAAAAGGACUUUGGAAAGAGAGUUAAACAGUACGUGAAAUUGCUGGAAGGGAAACGCUCCAAGUCAGUCGCGUCGGCCGGGGAUCAACCCUGCGCGAGAUGAUCGUGCACGGGCGUACUUCCUGGUCGAUGGGUCAGCAUCGAUUUCGGCCGUCAGACAAGGCCGCGGAGGAACGUGGCACUCCUCGGAGUGUGUUAUAGCCUCCCGUGCGAACGUGAUGG